Molecule: ribosomal RNA, 433 nt
Filed under: Polyschismium chailletii
Lineage: Eukaryota; Evosea; Eumycetozoa; Physariida; Didymiaceae
Description: SSU rRNA
Rfam family: Eukaryotic small subunit ribosomal RNA
Source: RNAcentral
ACACGUAUGAAAGACAAGCUGAAAGACUUUUCUCAAUGAUGUAAGUGGUGGUGCAUGGUCGUUCUUAGUUCGUGGAGUGGUUUGUCUGGUCUAUUCCGAUAACGAGCGAGACCCCGGCGUUCCUAAUAGGGGCAGCAGCCCGGCUUUCGCCCGCAAGGGUGUUCGCUAGCACGCUGCCUCACAAUAUGCUUCUUAGACGUAUCAGAGCCGAUAAGGUUCUUGAAAUGGGUUAAUAACAGGUCAGUCAUGCCCUUAGAUGUUCUGGGCCGCACGCGCGUUACAAUGGCAUGCUUUAGAAAGUGCUCAAAAGGGCGUCUCCGCGGCCUACAGGCUGCGGUAACCCCUAGUCCCUGCCUUGACUGGGACAGACUAUUGCAAUUAUUGGUCUCAAACGAGGAAUUUUUAGUAGUCGCAGGUCAUUAACCUGCGACGA